RNAcentral lists this ribosomal RNA (444 nucleotides) under uncultured bacterium. Its description in RNAcentral is "SSU rRNA". It matches the Rfam family "Bacterial small subunit ribosomal RNA", at positions 26 to 518 of the family's 1533-position model. The record is from RNAcentral.
AGAGCGAACGCUGGCGGCAGGCCUAAUACAUGCAAGUCGAACGCACCUUCGGGUGAGUGGCGGACGGGUGAGUAACACGUGGGAACGUGCCUUUUGGUUCGGAAUAAUCCGGGGAAACCUGGCCUAAUACCGGAUGUGCCCUUUGGGGAAAAGAUUUAUCGCCAAAAGAGCGGCCCGCGUCUGAUUAGCUAGUUGGUGGGGUAAAGGCCCACCAAGGCUACGAUCAGUAGCUGGUCUGAGAGGAUGAUCAGCCACACUGGGACUGAGACACGGCCCAGACUCCUACGGGAGGCAGCAGUAGGGAAUCUUGCGCAAUGGGCGAAAGCCUGACGCAGCCAUGCCGCGUGAAUGAUGAAGGUCUUAGGAUUGUAAAAUUCUUUCAGCGGGGAAGAUAAUGACUGUACCCGCAGAAGAAGCUCCGGCUAACUUCGCGCCAGCAGCCGC